UAUUGUGUGUUCCUCUGCCAUGACUACCUAGUCCAAGAGUAAACCCCACCUGCCACAGGGCCCGUGGCCUAGGUAUGGGGGGUUGAGCUUUCAACCCCAAACAAACAACUGAUUCUGGAGACUGGACUUAGGUCUCUCACGAUUCACUCCGGUAGAAGACACGGUGAUUCUAUCUCCCUUGACGGACAGAAUGAUCGAAGACACAGGGCAUGGCGUGUGCCACCCUUUGGCAGGUCUGCUUGAAGUCAGGGAUAAGGGAUGCUUCCUGUGACAACUUGAAUCGCUACUCUUGCCAUUUCAUUAGGCAACUUCCAAACACAAAUUCAUACAGAGAAGUUACCUUCCUCUCUACCGCACUAGCAGGCUGGCGCUGAGAUGGGCAGGUGCUGCAGCAGCCCCGCUGGAAGCGAUGCAGCAUCCAGGACGACGGAGGAAGGGGCGGAGAGGGACCUCUGCUUUCCAGGCUGCCUUUUAUACUGCCUCUGGUCACCUGACAUGGAACGUACCCUAACCUAAUCAGUUACCUGUACCUUAAUUGCAAUUAACUUAAUCCAAUUACAUGACCUGGAAAGGUCUAUCUGCACAGCCCACUCUAAGAUCCUGUCCACUGCUGACAGACAUUCUAAAACCUACUUGUACAGCUGCAAGCUUUGAACAAUAGAUGUUCCCCGUCAGACAUGUAACACUGGUGCCUGUAUCCCUGUCUUCUUUUCCAUCUUUUUUGUUGUUUUGUUUUGUUUCGUUUUAAAAAAUGUGGUAAAAUAGACACCUUUUAAUUGGACCACAUUUUGUCUCUCUCGACGUAGGCCUCAGUGUCAUCAAGGAGACUCUCCUUGACAUGCAGUCACGGCCAUGAUCCAUCUUCAGAGCUUCUCUUUCUUCCCCAAGGUAAGUCUGUCAGCAGAGAACCCUGACCGCACCCUCAUGUGUUUUCUCCCCCAGGAGGCGCUUGGAAACCACCGUGAAUUGGACCGCACUGGGAAACACAGAUGAGGAAAGUCAACAACGCUUUGUCCUUCAGUGCCUGCCUCCUUUUUCAGCUCGUCUUGCGACUCCCGGACGCCUGUGAGGCUGUAAUUCCCUGGGUCCCAUUGCCAUGUCUCUGGAUUUGCGAAGAUCCACCGCACCUUCUGUGGAACUCCCGUGUCGGUGAACUUUUGUGCCACGGCCCCUAAUUCUGCCCAUGGUCAUCCGCACCUGCACGACUUAGGGUCCAUGUUCCUUGGACGGGAAGAGACAGGCAGGAGUCGGAAUGAUGAACCAGCACACUGGGGCGUUUUCUCAUGUAGCCCAAGUGACCCCAUGGUCUUCUCGAGCUUUGGAACCAGUCGCGUCCCCUUUGACACUGCACCCGGCUCCCAGUCUCUCAAUCUUGUUGGCCCUCCGGCGAUCUCCCGUUGGAUGAAUUGCUCCUGCUGAAACUCCAGUCCCCUUUGAUUUGCGCUUCAUUAAUUAUUCAUGAUUCAGGUUGGAAGGCCUGCUGACGACCCCCUGUGGCCGUUCUCUGAGCUUUCCUGUCACAUCGUUUCCUUCCACGCUCUUUGGUUCCUUAUGGUCCUGCUCCCUCUGCUGU
This 1573-nucleotide long non-coding RNA is filed under the name Homo sapiens (human). RNAcentral's name for it is "HSALNT0344878". The record is from RNAcentral. Lineage: Eukaryota; Metazoa; Chordata; Mammalia; Primates; Hominidae.